Molecule: long non-coding RNA, 610 nt
Organism: Brienomyrus brachyistius
Lineage: Eukaryota; Metazoa; Chordata; Actinopteri; Osteoglossiformes; Mormyridae
Exons: 3
Source: RefSeq, a predicted model, not a curated record
CAGGAGGCCCAGGCUAAAGGAGCACCUCAGGUUAAAGGGGCGGGCCAGGCUAAAGGGGCGGCUCAGGUUAAAGGAGCGGCUAAAGUUAAAGGGGCGCCUCAGGUUAAAGGGGUGGCCCAGGCUAAAGGGGCAGCCCAGGCUAAAGGGGCAGCCCAGGCUAAAGGGGCAGCUCAGGUUAAAGGGGCGCCUCAGGUUAAAGGGCCGGUCAGGUUAAAGGGGCGGGCCAGGCUAAAGGGGCGGCUCAGGUUAAAGGAGCGGCUCAAGUUAAAGGGGUGCCUCAGGUUAAAGGGGCGGCUCAGGUUAAAGGGGCGCCUCAGGUUAAAGGGGCGGCCCAGGCUAAAUUCAGACAGGGCUGGGCCUUUAGAAGUAUGUGUGAGAAAUCAGACAUAAUAAUAAUAAUAGUCUUUCUAGUCCACAGAUGUGGAAAUUUGAGGUUUGAGGUAAAAAACAUCACAAUAUAUAACACUGGUAAUUGAAAUCACAGCACAUUUACACGUAUAAGGGCAGUGAGCAGGUUCUCAGGUGUGUCUGGACUGGUGCCCCGAGACAAGGGGACGUGAACUGCAGCAGGAUAAGCGGGGGGUAGAUGGCUGGAUGGAUAAAGGAGACU